UACGUAGGGACCAAGCGUUGUUCGGAUUUACUGGGCGUAAAGGGCGCGUAGGCGGCAAUUCAAGUCAUCUGUGAAAUCUCCGGGCUUAACUCGGAACGGUCAGAUGAUACUGCUUUGCUCGAGUGCGGAAGGGGCAAUCGGAAUUCUUGGUGUAGCGGUGAAAUGCGUAGAUAUUGCUCGGAAGGCCAAAGCCGAAGGGACCCCACUGGUACGUAACUGACACUGAGGCACGAAAGCGUGGGGAGCAAAACGG
This 253-nucleotide ribosomal RNA is filed under the name uncultured bacterium. RNAcentral describes it as "partial 16S ribosomal RNA". It matches the Rfam family "Bacterial small subunit ribosomal RNA", at positions 524 to 776 of the family's 1533-position model. The record is from RNAcentral.